UCACUAGUAAAGUUGUCCUCAGUGCCA
Molecule: non-coding RNA, 27 nt
Filed under: Mus musculus (house mouse)
Lineage: Eukaryota; Metazoa; Chordata; Mammalia; Rodentia; Muridae
Source: RNAcentral